This 253-nucleotide ribosomal RNA is filed under the name uncultured bacterium. RNAcentral describes it as "partial 16S ribosomal RNA". It matches the Rfam family "Bacterial small subunit ribosomal RNA", at positions 524 to 776 of the family's 1533-position model. The record is from RNAcentral.
UACGGAGGGUGCGAGCGUUAAUCGGAAUUACUGGGCGUAAAGGGUGCGUAGGUGGUUGAUUAAGUUAUCUGUGAAAUUCCUGGGCUUAACCUGGGCGGGUCAGAUGAUACUGAUUGACUGGAGUAUGGGAGAGGGUAGUGGAAUUUCCGGUGUAGCGGUGAAAUGCGUAGAGAUCGGAAGGAACACCGGUGGCGAAGGCGGCUACCUGGCCUAAUACUGACACUGAGGCACGAAAGCGUGGGGAGCAAACAGG